Molecule: unclassified non-coding RNA, 288 nt
Filed under: Endoxyla sp. (in: ascomycete fungi)
Lineage: Eukaryota; Fungi; Ascomycota; Sordariomycetes; Boliniales; Boliniaceae
Description: Endoxyla sp. (in: Fungi) partial contains 5.8S ribosomal RNA, internal transcribed spacer 2, and large subunit ribosomal RNA
Rfam family: 5.8S ribosomal RNA (bases 1-71)
Source: RNAcentral
GUGAGUCAUCGAAUCUUUGAACGCACAUUGCGCCCGCCAGUAUUCUGGCGGGCAUGCCUGUCCGAGCGUCAUUUCAACCCCUCAAGCCCAGCUUGGUGUUGGGGCCCCUACGUGCGCCGUAGGCCCCGAAUUCCAGUGGCGGGCUCGCCGCGAUCCCGAGCGUAGUAGUGCUACCCCGCUCAGGGCGCGCGGCGGGCGCCGGCCGUGAAAGAAACCACUUCGACAAAAGGUUGACCUCGGAUCAGGUAGGAAUACCCGCUGAACUUAAGCAUAUCAAUAAGCGGAGGA